Molecule: long non-coding RNA, 1911 nt
Organism: Bombus impatiens (common eastern bumble bee)
Lineage: Eukaryota; Metazoa; Arthropoda; Insecta; Hymenoptera; Apidae
Exons: 2
Source: RefSeq, a predicted model, not a curated record
UUGGCCGCGAUUCAGCGUCGGGUGUAUGUCCCGCUCGUCGCGGUUCGACCGACGCGAAAACACGGCGAUUGUCACGAGCAACGUUUCCUACGGAUUGUCUUCUUCGUCGAAAAUCCCGCUCCCUCCCUUUGCGUAUUCUCGUGACAGUAAAUCACAGUGCGUCGACGUCUGAAUAAUCGAAUAUCGGCGAGUUCGCGUUCUUCUUAUUCCAAGAAUAAGUGCGGCUCGUUUCGAGUAUAAUCGUAGAGAAGUGUGCGAGAGUCGAAGGAGACAGUGUUAGCGCAGUUAGUAUCUAAGAGGGAAGUGUAAGAGAAACGAGAUAGGGGUUUCUAUUGGAUCAGAGAAUCGCAGGACGUUUAGAUCGGUGUGAUACGUGGUGCCGGAUCUACGUAUCCUUAUACUCGGGUCGUUAUCGGAUGUUUCAAAUUCGUUGGAUCGGUGAUUUAACUAGAUGGAUAAGUCACGAAUGUCACGGAUAAUUGGGAGAGUUUGACUGAUCCCGAGAUAGCCAAGGCAGCCCUCGAGGGAUCCCAAUCGUUCUGCUUGCUGGCGAAUCUUUCUUUAAAUCCUCUGCAUUCUAUCGAGUUGUCUAACCAAACCGAGGAAACCGAUGAACAUCAGCCAGCUUCCUUCGUAUCAAUCUCAACCUGUCCACGAUGAAGUCUCUGCCUAUCGUCGUCUAUCAUCGAGCUCGAUAAAAUCGAGUUUGCCGAGCUGCCACGGGACCUAAGACAACAUGGACGGAACAGGGUCAGGGCUAUGGGAAUGUUGAACUGGCGGAAGCGGAAUAUCCCGGUGGAAACUCGAGGCACAGCCGAGCUGCAAGCCCGAGGAGAGGAUGAGACGUCUGGAGGAAGAGGCCACAUCGAACAAUCGAUCGCAGCUUCGACGAUAAUUGCUAAAGCCGAUGCAGCAGUCUCCUCCACGGUUGAACGGUCGCUUCUCUACCGGUAAUGCAUCGUGAAAGGGUUGCACUGCGUGCUCGAACAACGUCGCGGCUGAUCGUCUCGAGAAUGAAAGGGACGCGCGAUUCCUGAGCCGAUCGAUCACCGAUCCUUCGUUUAUUCUUCUGUAGAACGUGCAACAGACACGCGAUAUCUCGAGGGAUUUAUGUUCUAUCAACGAGAAAUUCUUAGAUGAUGUUUCGUUCCAGUGACCUGCGAGGAAAUCGUCGAGCGACCAUCGACUGAGGCAUCGACGAGUUUGUCGAGAUUACGUUCGAAAAGGGCAAGGAAGUGGAAAGUGGCCUGCGUUUGAAGAUCGGAAUGUAGAUGUUAAUGGAGGAUCUUUUAAAGUGAUACGAAUGAUCGUGGGUCGCUGUUAAUGAUAACGGAGAACGGUUUAUCGACGAUUUUCUUUUAAAUGAUAUUGACGACAGCUUCGAAUGAUGGAAGUACGAUGGUAGUUUGACGGAUCAAUGAUUAAUCGUCGACGAAUAAAUACGGUGCGUUUGGUCGAUUUUAUGUAAAUAACUGUGCGCUUAAUGGCGUCAAAUUAUUUGCAGCGUUUAAUUGAUUUAUCGAGACAUGUUCACUGGAACGAACUGGUUACGGUACCGAUAGAACGAUAUAGAUUUGUCUAUUUUCUUCGCCAAUUUUAUUUAUCGAGAAUCGAAAUAUCAGAAGGAGUAUUAUUUUUGCUAUUUCCGCAAGAUCGCGAAAUUCCUUCAGAGUUUUUACAUAUCCUGGGAUAUCUGGUACAACGGUAGAGAUGCUCGCCACGCUUCAGUCAACAUAUCAGACGGAUUUUUCUCGCAACUGCAACGGACAGGCCCGAAUGUACGCGUCUAGCCGUGAAAACGUUCUACCAUCGUGCACACACCGCUGAAUAAACAAACGUAACUGCAUCGUGUCUCUCGAAAAUUCCAUGAAAUUCAUUUUUCUUUAAAAAAAAAAAAAAAAAAAAAAAAAA